This 27-nucleotide non-coding RNA is filed under the name Mus musculus (house mouse). Lineage: Eukaryota; Metazoa; Chordata; Mammalia; Rodentia; Muridae. The record is from RNAcentral.
UGAAGCCCACUGGUGCCUGAGUCCUGC